CCCGUGUCGCGUUUCACUGUCCGGUGGAGACGAGGUGGUGGCGGCGAGGUGCAGCGCCGAAAAGAGGGAGGGGAGGCAGAGAGAGAGGCGGUCCGUAGGGUCUGCGCCUCCGCCUCUAUGGAAGGAAGGGCGUGGCGUGCUCUAACACCAGAGUUGGAGGACUGCCGCUGCCGCUCGGAGAGCCUCCGGUGGAGGCUAGAUUCUCCACGCGGGGAGGGAGGAACCUUAGACUGGUUGAAGAGGAGAGGUGAUAGGGCGUGGAAAGGAGAGGGAGAGUACCGGGUAGGAGGUGGGUUCGAGGCUAGGCUGGGUUACGCCGAUACUUUAGAGACGACGACAGGGUGACGGAGGCGGCACGGCAUCGAAUCGCGGAGGGGGCAGCGGAGCGUGGGGUUUGGGGACGUCGGAAGCAGCGGUGACGGCGAGGGCAAGGUGGAGUAGCGCUAGAACCCGCAACCGAAAACUCUUAGUAAUCGUCUUCAUAACUUGGGACUCAAAAGUAAAUAAAGCAGGACCAAUAACACUCUUACGCCUCCAAGUUAGGGAAACCCCCCUUUCAUGUCUGACCUAACCUUCCGGCGUGGUAACUAAUACGUAACUUCGUAUAGUAAACGUUACUGAGCCUUAGCGAGCUAGAACAGUACUUCCUCUAGGUCCACUACUUAGAGGAGUUUCCCGUACGGUUACAGCAGUGUGACCAACGUGUACUACAAAAACUGUACCCGGCGUGUUUCCUCCGUAACGAACACUACCUCAAAACGCUCUUCAGGAACCACUCACGCUACCUCUCGUCUCCAUGACCAAUGAUACUCCUUUUCUUCCGCGAAAACUAUAAGUCUCUACAGACGUUGCGCCAAAAACGAUACGUACCCGUCAGUGGUGGUUAACGCGUAUCCCUAGAAUUUCGGCUUUUACAUGAAGAACCUAAUCUACCACGUACCUUUGAUACACUGAAACCUUCGUGCAGUUGUUUAGUAUUUACGAAACUGUUCGGUCUUCUAUCCCCCUAACUCCUUCUAUAGUAAUCCUUCGUAUGCUGGGGCCGUAUAUCUCGUGGACUCUACACCCUAGAGAUGUCUUCUCUUCAAUAAUCACUCUUUCAACUAUAAACCCGGGACCCUACAGAAGAGAUAUCUUAUACGAUGAAGUUUAGGCGCAAACUACCUCUCAGCUUCGACGUUCAGGAAUUACCGUUAAUAGCGUAAGGUCUUGUUGGAUUCAUGUCGUGGUCACAGUGUCCCGACUAGUUUCUAUACGACCUUCGUAGAGGUUUACGGUCUGGUCUAUAGUGUGUCCAGACCAAAGCACAAUUGCUUGAUGACGGAGAACUCAAUGUCUUCUCAAAUGGACUACCCCGAAGUCGCCGUUAAAGAUACCCGAACGUCCUGCUACCACGAAUAUUUUCUUGUGUACACUACGGAUUUUCCUUGGGAGGACGUGGAGGUUCUCUUGUUAGACUAUUGAGUAGUAGAGUACCUUCACGUUUGCGGCCUCUACGUGGAGAUCCACGUAAAACCCACUGGGUUGUACGUGUCCCAAGAGUUCAACGACUAUUAUCCUUAGGGAACAAACUGCUCCUCGGUUAAUUUGGUAGUGGAAGUAGUUUCAUAUUGGUUUCAUCCCACCUAUAGUCGUGGUGAUGGGGACCUCUAUCCGUACCAGUAAGACCAGUCCGAAACGCUUUAUGUUGUUCAUUGUGACAUAGGUCAUUACCUGAAUUCCCACCAAGCCUGUAUUUAGAAAAGUACCUUGGUGUUCCAAUACACUUUUUAUUUCGUAGUGUCGGUGUUUCGUUCUGAUAUAGACCCUUGCUGGGGAAGUUGUCAAAACAGUGUCUAAAACUACGUUUGUUAGACGUGAGUCCCUGAUGACGAUGACCAUUCUGUAGACUCGAACUUCGACUUCACAGGUUAGACUUCCUCGUCAACUUCUUUUGGUGCAGCCUCUUCCGACUCUACUGUCGGUUCAUACUUUUCGACAGCCGUUAGACGGCGAGGGUCGCGGUUCUUUAAGUUCUCAACUUCGCGUGACAACGACUCUGAUGUGGUGGCGGAAGUUCAUUUCAGUCGAGUUCCUACGGUCUUGAACCUAGGGUCGCCUUCCUCUCCUAACUUCCUUGCCACACCCUUGAACUCGUUCCUUACGAGAGUCCGUUGAGGAGCCGUGGGUCGAGACUCCGGUUCUGUACCGUCAGUAAGGGACUCCGUUUUCGAGUCUGGUCCGGUUUCCAACUGGUACGUUGGUUACCCUCCGUUUUGGAUUGUGCCUUGUGCUUACGUCCCGGAAGGGGACUACGCACCCCAAAGCCGUGUAGUAGCCCAUCGUUACGCUGUCGUUGUGUCUACUUGUCUUGCUUACGGGUCCCCUCAAGGAGGGUCUCUAACUCGUACCCCCGUCGCUUCUUUCAUCUAGUCGGUAGUCCUACCCGGCCUAAGAUCGAAGAGUAGUCGUGCGCACACCCGACGCAUCGACCUACAUGUGGCCACAAAGUCUCGUUUCUCGGUUUGUAGAAACCGCGAGUUCCGGCCGAACUAUUAAUAACAUUCCCGUUCGUGACGAUGUUACAAAUCAUGGCUCCCUUGACGUGGCCCUCGGGAGUUUUGAAUGCGCACCUUGUCAAACCAACUC
RNAcentral lists this ribosomal RNA (2628 nucleotides) under Triticum aestivum (bread wheat). RNAcentral's name for it is "partial small subunit ribosomal RNA". Lineage: Eukaryota; Viridiplantae; Streptophyta; Magnoliopsida; Poales; Poaceae. The record is from RNAcentral.